UUUGCGACACAUACAAUAUAUUAUUAAUUCAUUACAACAUCUUGUUCGUGACACAAAACAACAACACAACAUAAUUUGACCUCUUAUCUGUGACACAAAACAACAAGGACCACAUUACACUGACCUCUUGUCCGUGACAGACAACAACAACAAAGCUAUAGACACAACAAUCUUGAAUACACUUGCAUUGACAUGAGAAGACUAAACUUACUACACAUCAAGACCAAUACUUGUGUCCGUGACUAAAUGGAACACACUUACUCAAGAAGAAGACAACUUAGCUCCCAAGAUCUCGUGUCUCUGAUUUUUCUAUCUCUGUGCUUGGAACCUGAAGCCAAUAAAACAUGACAUCAAUAUCAAUUAUCAUAAUGAAUGUAAAUCUAUCAUCUAGCAGUUUUAGAAUUUCAAAAUGAAACAUAGACAGUCGGUUUUGACAUGCCACACUAGACAGAAACAUGAACAAGAACAUAAAUAUGAAACAUAGAACAACUUAGAACAAGAACUUAAACAUGAAACAUAGAACAAGAACUUAAACAGAAACAUAGAACAAGAACUUAAACAAAAACAUAGAACAAUAUAUUAAACAGAACAUCAUCAGAUCAACAAAGUUGGAGGUUUGGCUACUAAAUUACUCAAAAAAAUAGAAAAGAGAGUUUUCGGAGAUUCCUAAACUAAACCAAAAGUAUUGAUCCACAAGAAGCUAAUUGAUGUUAAUCAAUAAUGUUCAUUGUUCCUAACAAAAAGCUAUGAACUUUGAAUACAAUGGAACAGAGAAACAAUAAGAAGAACCUGAGCUUUAUUGAAGAAGACUUGAUUCUUCUUGUGAUCGUUGAAUCUCAGCUUCUCCUUCCUUGAUGGAUGACUCUGAUCUUCCAUCAAUCGACAAACUCUGCCCCAAAAACAAACCAUCGACGAAGAGAAGACGAAGAACGAAGAGAAGAGAAGACGAAGAACAAACCAUCAAGUCUCAUCUUCCAUCAAUCGACGAAGAGAAGACGAAGAACAAACCAUCAAUUCUGAUCUUCAAUCGAUCGACGAAGAGAAGACGAAGAACAAACCAUCGUCGUCCUCUGAGAUGUCGAAGAACCGAAGAGAUGACGAAGAAAACGAAGAGAUGUCGAAGAACCGGGGAA
RNAcentral lists this long non-coding RNA (1133 nucleotides) under Brassica napus (rape). Its description in RNAcentral is "long non-coding RNA (BNAP_LNC016514)". Lineage: Eukaryota; Viridiplantae; Streptophyta; Magnoliopsida; Brassicales; Brassicaceae. The record is from RNAcentral.